Molecule: ribosomal RNA, 253 nt
Filed under: uncultured bacterium
Lineage: Bacteria
Description: partial 16S ribosomal RNA
Rfam family: Bacterial small subunit ribosomal RNA
Source: RNAcentral
UACGUAGGGUGCGAGCGUUGUCCGGAAUUAUUGGGCGUAAAGAGCUUGUAGGCGGUUUGUCGCGUCUGCCGUGAAAAUUCGAGGCUCAACCUCGAACUUGCGGUGGGUACGGGCAGACUAGAGUGUGGUAGGGGAGACUGGAAUUCCUGGUGUAGCGGUGAAAUGCGCAGAUAUCAGGAGGAACACCGAUGGCGAAGGCAGGUCUCUGGGCAGUAACUGACGCUGAGGAGCGAAAGCGUGGGGAGCGAACAGG